AGGACGAACGCUGGCGGCGUGCUUAACACAUGCAAGUCGAGCGGAAAGGCCCUUCGGGGUACUCGAGCGGCGAACGGGUGAGUAACACGUGAGUAACCUGCCCCUAGCUUCGGGAUAGCUCCGGGAAACCGGAAUUAAUACCGGAUACGACGACGGCCGACAUCUGUCGUGGUGGAAAGGAUUCCGGCUAGGGAUGGGCUCGCGGCCUAUCAGCUUGUUGGUGGGGUAACGGCCUACCAAGGCGACGACGGGUAG
RNAcentral lists this ribosomal RNA (255 nucleotides) under uncultured bacterium. RNAcentral describes it as "partial small subunit ribosomal RNA". It matches the Rfam family "Bacterial small subunit ribosomal RNA", at positions 26 to 286 of the family's 1533-position model. The record is from RNAcentral.